This 71-nucleotide transfer RNA is filed under the name Marmota monax (woodchuck). It matches the Rfam family "tRNA". From Rfam's summary of the family: Transfer RNA (tRNA) molecules are approximately 80 nucleotides in length. Their secondary structure includes four short double-helical elements and three loops (D, anti-codon, and T loops). The record is from Rfam by way of RNAcentral. Lineage: Eukaryota; Metazoa; Chordata; Mammalia; Rodentia; Sciuridae.
GGGGAUACAGCUCAGUUGGUAGAGUAUUUGGUUCACAUGCACAAGGCCUGGGUUCAAUCCCAGAACCCCCC